RNAcentral lists this non-coding RNA (24 nucleotides) under Rattus norvegicus (Norway rat). The record is from RNAcentral. Lineage: Eukaryota; Metazoa; Chordata; Mammalia; Rodentia; Muridae.
GAAGAGAGAGUCAAAUGGAAACUU